AGUGAACGCUGGCGGUAGGCCUAACACAUGCAAGUCGAACGGCAGCACAGUAAGAGCUUGCUCUUACGGGUGGCGAGUGGCGGACGAGUGAGGAAUACAUCGGAAUCUACUUUUUCGUGGGGGAUAACGUAGGGAAACUUACGCUAAUACCGCAUACGACCUACGGGUGAAAGCAGUGGAUCUUCGGACCUUGCGCGAUUGAAUGCGCCGAUGUCGGAUUAGCUAGUUGGCGGGGUAAAGGCCCACCAAGGCGACGAUCCGUAGCUGGUCUGAGAGGAUGAUCAGCGACACGGGAACUGAGACACGGUCCAGACUACUACGGGAGGCAGCAGUGGGGAAUAUUGGACAAAGGGCGCAAGCCUGAUCCAGCCAUACCGCGUGGGUGAAGAAGGCCUUCGGGUUGUAAAGCCCUUUUGUUGGGAAAGAAAAGCGGCAGGUUAAUACCCCGCUGUUCUGACGGUACCGAAAGAAUAAGCACCGGCUAACUUCGUG
This 492-nucleotide ribosomal RNA is filed under the name uncultured bacterium. RNAcentral's name for it is "partial 16S ribosomal RNA". It matches the Rfam family "Bacterial small subunit ribosomal RNA", at positions 29 to 507 of the family's 1533-position model. The record is from RNAcentral.